This 3417-nucleotide ribosomal RNA is filed under the name Triticum aestivum (bread wheat). RNAcentral's name for it is "partial small subunit ribosomal RNA". Lineage: Eukaryota; Viridiplantae; Streptophyta; Magnoliopsida; Poales; Poaceae. The record is from RNAcentral.
AUGGCGGAGACGAUAGCCUCCAUGCGCCGCCCGAAGCGUGGCCGCCCGCCAAGGCCGAGGGAGAGCGACUUCGUGACCGGCGAAGAGUUUGAGGACGAGGAGGAGGGGGAGGACCACGGGGAGGCGGCCGAUGGGCUCGCGCCGCCCCGGUCUAAGCGCAAGCGCGAGGCGUCCGCCGCCGCCGCCGCCGCGCUCGAGGAUUUGACUCUCAUCGACAUAGUCAAACAUAAUGGCAGGCUAAUCAGCCAUGCUGUCAAAAGAUUGGUCGAGGAUUAUGAAUCAAAUCCAAAGUCAGUGCUAUUUCAGAUAUUAACAAUGUUAUUUGAGGUUUGUGGCGCCAGACAUGAUAUAUAUGCAAGCGACCUUCAUGAGGCAGCUGUGGAUGACAUUGUAUUCAAACUAGCUGAGCUAGCAAGAAAAGGUCUGGUGGAUGAUAAUUAUAGCUCAAAAAGGAAGGACCUUAAGAACUUCAAAGAAAAUCUUGUUACCUUUUGGGAUAGUUUGGUCCUUGAGUGUCAGAAUGGUCCAUUAUUUGAUGAUAACUUAUUCACGACAAUCAAGGAUUACGUGGUUGCGAUAUCAUGUACUCCCCCAAGGGUUUAUCGUCAAGUAGCUUCAUUGGUUGGGCUCCAGCUUGUGACGUCCUUCAUAUCUGUCGCCAAGACUCUCAGUGGACAGCGUGAGACCACCCAAAGGCAGUUGAAUGCAGAGAAGAAGAAGCACAGUGAUGGGCCAGCUGUUGAAUCUCUCAACAAAAGGCUAUCUAUUACUCAUGAAAAUAUUACAUAUUUGGAGGAAUCGAUGCGUAAAAUAUUCAGCGGGUUAUUCAUGCACCGUUAUCGGGAUGUUGACCCUGAGAUCCGAAUGUUAUGCAUAAAAUCCCUAGGUAUUUGGGUUGUCUCAUAUCCAUCACUGUUCUUACAAGAUAUAUAUUUAAAGUAUCUUGGGUGGACACUGAAUGACAAGAAUGCUGGAGUUAGAAGAACUUCUAUUCUUGCCUUGCAAAGCCUGUAUGAUGUAGAUGACAACAUACCUUCUCUUGGUCUCUUUACGGAGAGGUUUUAUAGCAGGAUGAUCCAGCUUGCUGAUGAUAUUGAUAUUUCAGUAGCUGUGCCAGCUAUAGGACUCAUCAAGCAAUUACUUCGGCAUCAACUUUUGAGUGACGAUGAUUUGGGUCCCCUAUAUGAUUUGCUUAUUGACGAACCUCCUAUGAUCAGGCGUGCAAUAGGGGAGUUAGUUUAUGAUCACCUGAUAGCACAAAACUGCAAGACCCCUUCUGUAGCUAGAGAUGGGGACAAUGAAUCCUCCGAGAUUCACAUUAGUCGAAUGCUGCACAUCUUAAGGGAAUUUUCGGAUGACCCAGUCCUGAGUUCUUACGUCAUUGAUGAUAUUUGGGAUGACAUGAAGGCCAUGAAAGACUGGAAGUGUGUAAUCUCCAUGCUUCUUGAUGAAACUCCGAUAGCUGAGCUUACUGACAUGGAUGGAACAAAUCUAGUUCGGAUGCUGCGAGCCUCUGCUAAGAAGGCUGUUGGGGAAAGAAUAGUUCUUGCAACUGACAAUAGGAAGAUGUACUAUAACAAAGCCCAAAAGGAGAUAUUAGAAAAUAGCAAGAGUGACAUAACCAAUGCCUUGAUGAAGAGGUACCCGCAACUUUUGAGAAAAUACUUGCCUGACAAGGCCAAGAUAUCCCCUCUAAUUGAUAUGAUGAUGCUUUUGAAACUUGAGAUGUACUCACUGAAGAGGCAAGAGCAGAAUUUCAAGGCCGCCAUAGAUCUCAUUGUUGAUGCCUUCUUCAAACAUGGUGACAAGGAUACUUUAAGAUCUUGCAUCAAGGCAAUAGCUUUCUGUUGCACGAAGUGUCAGGCGGAUCUUCUAGAUUAUGCUGAAAAUAAACUUAAGACUCUUGAAGAUGAGUUGGUUUUGAAAGUCAAAACUGCGAUCAAGGAAGUAGAGGCAGGUGAUGAUGAAUAUUCUCUCUUGGUUAAUUUGAAGCGACUUCAUGAACUUCAGUUGUCAAAACCUGUUAAAAAUGAUGGUUUAUUUGAAGAUAUGUACCGAAUCCUCAGUCAUCUAAAAGAGAUGGACAAUGAGGUAAAGAGCUUUCUCCUCAUCAACAUGUUCCUUGAAGUAGCAUGGUGCCUUCAUGCAAUUGACGUUGAAAACCCAUCUGAAACAUCUAUCGAGGGACUUUCUUCCAAGCAAAGGUCUCUCUUUGAACAACUCUAUUAUUUCUUGGUGGUUCUGUCCAAUUAUCAGAAAGAGGGAAGGAGCACCACUGUGCUUUCCUCCAGAGUCUGCACCAUUACUGCAGAGAUGUGGUGCUUGUUUAAGAAGUCAAAGUAUUCUUCAACAAAGCUAAAAAAUUUGGGUUAUCUCCCACAAUUAGAAUAUGUUCAGAAGUUUUGGAAACUAUGUGAACAGCAGCUGAAUAUAUCAGAUGACACAGAAGAUGAAGACGCAAACGAAGAAUAUAUUGAAGACACAAACAGGGAUGCUGUCAUGAUUGCAGCUGCAAAGCUACUGCUUGCUGAUACAGUUUCGAAGGAUUACCUUGGCCCUGAGAUUGUUUCACACUAUGUAUCUCAUGGUGCAAGUACGACAGAGAUCAUCAAGCAUCUCAUUACCGCACUAAAGAAAAAUGCAAACAGUGAUAUAGCUGCUCUAUUCUUUGAGGCAUUGAGACGGGUACUUCUGUUUAUCUUUGAAUGCACUUGCUAUUUAUUCACAAAUUUACAAGUGUACGAACGGUAUAUGGCCUAUUUGCGCGAAGGAGAGAACCAAAACCUGAUAGCCAAAUCUUACUCGGAGUGUCAAGAUCUUGCUAAUCGGCUUGCAGGCUACUAUGUUGGCGCUGUUCGUAUUAAAAACAAGUCUGAGAUCUUAAAGAUUAUCCAGUGCGGUGUUCAAUUUGCCUUUGUGGACCUCCCAAAGCAAUUGUCUUUCCUCGAGGCUGCUCUUGUGCCAUUUGUUUCUAAACUUCCUUCGUCAGAUAUACCAGACAUUUUGACAGAUGUACAGAAGAGGGCACAAGAUAUCGAUAUGAAUGAAGAUCCCAGUGCUUGGCGCCCGUACUUAACCUUUGUAGAACACUUACGUGAGAAACAUGCAAGGAAUGAGGUUUUCCAUGAAGAAAAGGAGGAAAAGCCUGUAAAGCGCAGGGGCCGCCCGAGGAAGCCUAGAGAUGAACCUGUGAGAAAUCUUUUUGAUGGAAACAAAUCUAGUGAUGAAGAGUCUGUUAGUGACUCUGACCAACGGGGGCAUGGUGGAGAUGACGACGACGAGGAUGAUGCUUUUGACCAGCCUUUGAUCAACACGUUUAGGCCUUCCGCAUCCAAGCUAAGAUCGCUGAAGGGGGUUUCUCAACAGGGAACAAGCAGUCAGAGAAAAGCUCCUACGGCUUCAGGAAGCAAUAGCUGA